GAGUUUGAUCCUGGCUCAGGACGAACGCUGGCGGCGUGCUUAACACAUGCAAGUCGCGGGGGGUGAGCAAUCACUCACCGGCGAACGGGUGCGUAACACGUGAGCGACCUGCCCACUUGUGGGGUAUAGCCGGCCCAACGGCCGGGUAAUCCCGCAUACGCUUCUCUGGCUGCAUGGCCGGGGGAGGAAAGCCGUAAGGCGCAAGUGGAGGGGCUCGCGGCCUAUCAGCUAGUUGGCGGGGUAACGGCCCACCAAGGCGAUGACGGGUAGCUGGUCUGAGAGGAUGGCCAGCCACAUUGGGACUGAGAUACGGCCCAGACUCCUACGGGAGGCAGCAGUGGGGAAUCUUGCGCAAUGGUCGAAAGACUGACGCAGCGACGCCGCGUGCGGGAGGAAGCCCUUCGGGGUGUAAACCGCUGUUACUCGGGACGAACUUCCCGAUUUGUCGGGAUUGACGGUACCGGGGGAGGAAGCACCGGCUAACUCUGUGCCAGCAGCCGCGGUAAUACAGAGGGUGCGAGCGUUGUCCGGAAUCACUGGGCGUAAAGGGCGCGUAGGCGGCUUCUCACGCGUGCGGUGAAAGCCCGGGGCUUAACUCCGGGUCUGCCGUGCGAACGGGGAGGCUUGAGUCUGGUAGAGGUCGAUGGAAUUCCGGGUGUAGCGGUGGAAUGCGUAGAGAUCCGGAAGAACACCGGUGGCGAAGGCGGUCGACUGGGCCAGUACUGACGCUGAGGCGCGACAGCGUGGGGAGCAAACAGGAUUAGAUACCCUGGUAGUCCACGCCGUAAACGAUGUCAACU
RNAcentral lists this ribosomal RNA (800 nucleotides) under uncultured Pseudomonas sp. RNAcentral describes it as "bacterial SSU rRNA". It matches the Rfam family "Bacterial small subunit ribosomal RNA", at positions 9 to 817 of the family's 1533-position model. Lineage: Bacteria; Pseudomonadati; Pseudomonadota; Gammaproteobacteria; Pseudomonadales; Pseudomonadaceae. The record is from RNAcentral.